This 1140-nucleotide long non-coding RNA is filed under the name Sinocyclocheilus anshuiensis. RNAcentral describes it as "lncRNA (ENSSANG00000015098.1)". Lineage: Eukaryota; Metazoa; Chordata; Actinopteri; Cypriniformes; Cyprinidae. The record is from RNAcentral.
GAAAUGCCCUCCGCCCUUGUGUUCUCGUUUUCAUGCUCAUAUGGAGGCCUGGCCUGUCCGUUUCAGACCCCCACAUUUCCUAAACAUGCAUCCCAGACCAGGGCCUAAUCCUCUGGGGCAAAAACAACGGCAGCAGAGUGCUCCCCAACCUCAAAGAUGUCCAGAUGUCAAGAGUAACCAAAAUGUGGAUAAUUCCAGCAGGAGUCAAUUCAGUGUGGUUCUCCCGCAUGUACCUGGAUGCCCUAAUCCAAGUAGAGCUUCUCCAGAACCUCCAACAAGUCCUUCUCUGACACUCAAGUUUGUUGAUCACCCUCAGAAAUCCCAAACCUCCAAUACACACUUACAACUGACAGAUGAGGAAGAAGAUGCAUGCUCUGCUCCACAAAAUCUGAAUAAAGGGCACCAUGAAAUGGCUGAAGAGGAGACAAUGACCCCAACAACUCUAUCCACCCCGACAACCCCAAGCAUCCCAGCCACCCCAACUACUCCUGGCACCCAAAGUACUCCAAGUAGCCCAAUUACUCCAGUCACACCAACUUCAUCUGUGACCCCAAAUUCUCUUUCCAGUUUUAGCUGCCCUUCAUCAAGCCAGUUCAGCCGUAGCACCGACCUGAACAGUAGCUUCUCAGAUGCCCUGUCAGUGAGCUUCAGUGUUGACCAUUGUGAAGACAAUAGUACAGAUGACAAAGAUAACCAUGCUUCUGACCUUGACCAGAAUAAUUAUUAUCAAGAGGGCUGCUCUACUUCUCUUCCCGAGCUUCACUUUAGCUCUGCAGGAAGUUGCAGUCAGGCCAGCUCACGAAUGGACGUCCUUCAAGCACGUCUCUCCAGAUCUCUCACCUCCUGCAAACAAGAAACACCUUCCACUUGCCUGCCAGACACUCCAAUUUACACCUCCAAUACCCCUCAAUCUCAGCAAAACCUGGUCGUCCUACAGUCCACAAAUGAAACCUUGCAUAGAUGCCCUGGAUCCAGUCGGUCUGGCCUGAGUAUUCAUUCACAAAAACCUGAUUGCUCAACAGUGGACAGUCGAUCAGAAUGGAACCUUUGGCCUGUGCUUCCUCCCAUCAUGCCACGGCAGGAUGAACUGCAAGGUGAGUUUAAACAUAAACACAUUGUUCUAAACAUAAGCUAAUUAUA